This is a long non-coding RNA of Bufo bufo (common toad), 196 nucleotides long. RefSeq lists it as uncharacterized. NCBI's taxonomy places the organism in Eukaryota, Metazoa, Chordata, Amphibia, Anura, Bufonidae. The record is from RefSeq and is a predicted model, not a curated record. The transcript is spliced from 3 exons.
AGCUGGUCAGAGUUGAUGGGAAGAUGGAUGCAGCUAAAUACUGAACAAUCCUGGAGGAAAACCUGGUAGAGGCUGCAAAAGACUUGAGACUGGGGUGGAGGUUCACCUUCCAGUAGGACAACAACCCUCAACAACCAGCCAAAGCUACAAUGGAAGGGUUUAGAUCAAAACAUAUUCAUCGUUCAGUCUAAUAUCC